GAUGAACGCUGGCGGCGUGCCUAAUACAUGCCAGUCGAGCGAACAGACGAGGAGCUUGCUCCUCUGACGUUAGCGGCGGACGGGUGGGUAACACGUGGAUAACCUACCUAUAAGACUGGGAUAACUUCGGGAAACCGGAGCUAAUACCGGAUAAUAUAUUGAACCGCAUGGUUCAAUAGUGAAAGACGGUUUUGCUGUCACUUAUAGAUGGAUCCGCGCCGCAUUAGCUAGUUGGUAAGGUAACGGCUUACCAAGGCAACGAUGCGUAGCCGACCUGAGAGGGUGAUCGGCCACACGGGAACUGAGACACGGUCCAGACUCCUACGGGAGGCAGCAGUAGGGAAUCUUCCGCAAUGGGCGAAAGCCUGACGGAGCAACGCCGCGUGAGUGAUGAAGGUCUUCGGAUCGUAAAACUCUGUUAUUAGGGAAGAACAAAUGUGUAAGUAACUAUGCACGUCUUGACGGUACCUAAUCAGAAAGCCACGGCUAACUACGUG
RNAcentral lists this ribosomal RNA (497 nucleotides) under uncultured bacterium. RNAcentral's name for it is "partial 16S ribosomal RNA". It matches the Rfam family "Bacterial small subunit ribosomal RNA", at positions 28 to 507 of the family's 1533-position model. The record is from RNAcentral.